RNAcentral lists this ribosomal RNA (429 nucleotides) under uncultured bacterium. RNAcentral describes it as "bacterial SSU rRNA". It matches the Rfam family "Bacterial small subunit ribosomal RNA", at positions 355 to 776 of the family's 1533-position model. The record is from RNAcentral.
UUAGGAAUAUUCGUCAAUGGGGGAAACCCUGAACGAGCAAUGCCGCGUGAGUGAUGACGGUCCUCUGGAUUGUAAAACUCUGUUGUUUAGGAAAAAUUGUAUAAGCAGGAAAUGGUUUAUGCUUGAUGGUACUAUUCAAGAAAGCCACGGCUAACUACGUGCCAGCAGCCGCGGUAAUACGUAGGUGGCGAGCGUUAUCCGGAUUUAUUGGGCGUAAAGCGUCCGCAGACGGCUUGUUAAGUCUAGAAUCAAAGCCCAGAGCUUAACUCUGGUUCGUUCUAGAAACUGGCAGGCUUGAGUAUAGUAGAGGCAAGUGGAAUUUCUAGUGUAGCGGUAGAAUGCGUAGAUAUUAGAAGGAACACCAGUGGCGAAGGCGACUUGCUGGGCUAUUACUGACGUUCAUGGACGAAAGCGUGGGGAGCAAAUAGG